AGAGUUUGAUCAUGGCUCAGAACGAACGCUGGCGGCGCGCCUAAUACAUGCAAGUCGAGCGAGAAGACGUAGCAAUACGUUUGUAAAGCGGCGAACGGGUGAGGAAUACAUGGGUAACCUACCCUCGAGUGGGGAAUAACUAGCCGAAAGGUUAGCUAAUACCGCAUACGACUCCUGGUCUGCGGAUCGGGAGGGAAAGCGAUACCGUGGGUAUCGCGCUCUUGGAUGGGCUCAUGUCCUAUCAGCUUGUUGGUGAGGUAAUGGCUCACCAAGGCUUCGACGGGUAGCUGGUCUGAGAGGACGAUCAGCCACACUGGCACUGCGACACGGGCCAGACUCCUACGGGAGGCAGCAGUAAGGAAUAUUGCGCAAUGGGCGACAGCCUGACGCAGCGACGCCGCGUGGGGGAUGAAGGUCUUCGGACUGUAAACCCCUUUCGGCAGGGAAGAUGGAACGGGUAACCGUUCGGACGGUACCUGCAGAAGCAGCCACGGCUAACUUCGUGCCAGCAGCCGCGGUAAUACGAAGGUGGCAAGCGUUGUUCGGAUUUACUGGGCGUACAGGGAGCGUAGGCGGUUGGGUAAGCCCUCCGUGAAAUCUCCGGGCCUAACCCGGAAAGUGCGGAGGGGACUGCUCGGCUAGAGGAUGGGAGAGGAGCGCGGAAUUCCCGGUGUAGCGGUGAAAUGCGUAGAGAUCGGGAGGAAGGCCGGUGGCGAAGGCGGCGCUCUGGAACAUUUCUGACGCUGAGGCUCGAAAGCGUGGGGAGCAAACAGGAUUAGAUACCCUGGUAGUCCACGCCCUAAACGAUGGAUACUAAGUGUCGGCGGGUUACCGCCGGUGCCGCAGCUAACGCAUUAAGUAUCCCGCCUGGGAAGUACGGCCGCAAGGUUGAAACUCAAAUGAAUUGACGG
RNAcentral lists this ribosomal RNA (911 nucleotides) under uncultured bacterium. RNAcentral's name for it is "bacterial SSU rRNA". It matches the Rfam family "Bacterial small subunit ribosomal RNA", at positions 8 to 916 of the family's 1533-position model. The record is from RNAcentral.